Molecule: ribosomal RNA, 497 nt
Filed under: uncultured bacterium
Lineage: Bacteria
Description: partial 16S ribosomal RNA
Rfam family: Bacterial small subunit ribosomal RNA
Source: RNAcentral
GAUGAACGCUGGCGGCGUGCCUAAUACAUGCGAGUCGAGCGAACGGACGAGGAGCUUGCUUCUCUGAUGUUAGCGGCGGACGGGUGAGUAACACGUGGGUAACCUACCUAUAAGACUGGGAUAACUUCGGGAAACCGGAGCUAAUACCGGAUGAUAUUUUGAACCGCAUGGUUCAAAAGUGAAAGACGGUCUUGCUGUCACUUAUAGAUGGAUCCGCGCUGCAUUAGCUAGUUGGUAAGGUAACGGCUUACCAAGGCAACGAUGCAUAGCCGACCUGAGAGGGUGAUCGGCCACACUGGAACUGAGACACGGUCCAGACUCCUACGGGAGGCAGCAGUAGGGAAUCUUCCGCAAUGGGCGAAAGCCUGACGGAGCAACGCCGCGUGAGUGAUGAAGGUCUUCGGAUCGUAAAACUCUGUUAUUAGGGAAGAACAUAUGUGUAAGUAACUGUGCACAUCUUGACGGUACCUAAUCAGAAAGCCACGGCUAACUACGUG